RNAcentral lists this long non-coding RNA (406 nucleotides) under Capra hircus (goat). Its description in RNAcentral is "lncRNA (ENSCHIG00000007363.1)". Lineage: Eukaryota; Metazoa; Chordata; Mammalia; Artiodactyla; Bovidae. The record is from RNAcentral.
GCGCAAGACUGUGUUUGGCCUGCUGAACCAAGCGCAAAUAAUUGCCUGAGGCUUUUGGUCCGGGACUUAGCGUGCUUGUCUGACAGCUUUCAGAUGAAUCAUGAGACUGUCUCAAAGCUUCGGUGACAGUGCUGACCUGUACUACAGACAAGGAAUUUGUCCUGUUCAGCCUCACGGGGUGACAACGGCUGCUUCUGUGUUAAAUUCAUACUUUGAGCUGAAUUCACGUGGGCAAUCAGUACAAAUGACUUUUGAUUUGAGAUUCUUACACGGGAAAACACCAGCACCAAACAGGUAUUCAGAAUCUGGAAUUUCCAAUAUUGCAGAUUCUAUGCACAGAAUUAGAGAUUUUGAAAUCAUCUCAUCCUAUUCAGAAGUAAAUGAUCAUUUCAAAUACUGCAUCUAG